RNAcentral lists this non-coding RNA (227 nucleotides) under Rhodobacter capsulatus. RNAcentral also lists the same sequence under 1 other name. Lineage: Bacteria; Pseudomonadati; Pseudomonadota; Alphaproteobacteria; Rhodobacterales. The record is from RNAcentral.
CAGCCUUCGUCCGUGCAUGGUGCCAUCGCAGAUCCGAUGGCAGGGAACAGGACAGCCAUCCCGCCUGCGGCUUGCAGGAGGGCAAGAGCCAAAUCCGACCGCCCCCGCGACUGUGAGCGGCGAGCCGACCCGAAAAUCCACUGUGGCCCGGACUGACGCCGGACAUGGGAAGGGCGGGAAGGCAGCGACCCGCAAGUCAGGAGACCGACCUUGCAGUCUGGCUCAGC